ACCCAGGUGACGAGUCCCAAAUAGGACGAAACACGCGUCCUGGAU
Molecule: non-coding RNA, 45 nt
Filed under: Schistosoma mansoni
Lineage: Eukaryota; Metazoa; Platyhelminthes; Trematoda; Strigeidida; Schistosomatidae
Source: RNAcentral